UUACGGGAGGCAGCAGUGGGGAAUUUUGGACAAUGGGCGCAAGCCUGAUCCAGCCAUGCCGCGUGCGGGAAGAAGGCCUUCGGGUUGUAAACCGCUUUUGGCAGGAACGAAACGGCGCGAGCCAAUACCUCGCGCUAAUGACGGUACCUGCAGAAUAAGCACCGGCUAACUACGUGCCAGCAGCCGCGGUAAUACGUAGGGUGCAAGCGUUAAUCGGAAUUACUGGGCGUAAAGCGUGCGCAGGCGGCUUUGCAAGACAGGUGUGAAAUCCCCGGGCCUAACCUGGGAACUGCAUUUGUGACUGCAUAGCUAGAGUCUGUCAGAGGGGGGUGGAAUUCCACGUGUAGCAGUGAAAUGCGUAGAGAUGUGGAAGAACACCGAUGGCGAAGGCAGCCCCCUGGGAUAAGACUGACGCUCAUGCACGAAAGCGUGGGGAGCAAACAGGAUUAGAUACCCUGGUAGC
This 463-nucleotide ribosomal RNA is filed under the name uncultured bacterium. Its description in RNAcentral is "bacterial SSU rRNA". It matches the Rfam family "Bacterial small subunit ribosomal RNA", at positions 339 to 794 of the family's 1533-position model. The record is from RNAcentral.